Molecule: transfer RNA, 65 nt
Filed under: Coleoptera sp. 2 KM-2017
Lineage: Eukaryota; Metazoa; Arthropoda; Insecta; Coleoptera
Description: tRNA-Leu
Rfam family: tRNA
About the family: Transfer RNA (tRNA) molecules are approximately 80 nucleotides in length. Their secondary structure includes four short double-helical elements and three loops (D, anti-codon, and T loops).
Source: RNAcentral
GUUAUUUUGGCAGAAUAGUGCAAUAGAUUUAGAAUCUAAGAAUGUAAUUUAAAUUACAAAUAAUA